CCUACGGGAGGCAGCAGUGGGGGAUAUUGCACAAUGGGGGAAACCCUGAUGCAGCGACGCCGCGUGAGUGAAGAAGUAUUUCGGUAUGUAAAGCUCUAUCAGCAGGGAAGAAAAUGACAGUACCUGACCAAGAAGCCCCGGCUAACUACGUGCCAGCAGCCGCGGUAAUACGUAGGGGGCAAGCGUUAUCCGGAUUUACUGGGUGUAAAGGGGGCGUAGACGGUGGUGUAAGUCUGGAGUGAAAGCCCGGGGCUCAACCCCGGGACUGCUUUGGAAACUGUGUAGCUGGAGUACUGGAGGGGCAAGCGGAAUUCCUGGUGUAGCGGUGAAAUGCGUAGAUAUCAGGAGGAACACCAGCGGCGAAGGCGGCCUACUGGACUGAAACUGACGUUGAGGCUCGAAAGCGUGGGGAGCAAACAGGAUUAGAUACCCUAGUAGUC
This 440-nucleotide ribosomal RNA is filed under the name uncultured bacterium. RNAcentral's name for it is "partial 16S ribosomal RNA". It matches the Rfam family "Bacterial small subunit ribosomal RNA", at positions 338 to 795 of the family's 1533-position model. The record is from RNAcentral.